RNAcentral lists this unclassified non-coding RNA (259 nucleotides) under uncultured Lactarius. Its description in RNAcentral is "sequence contains ITS2". The record is from RNAcentral. Lineage: Eukaryota; Fungi; Basidiomycota; Agaricomycetes; Russulales; Russulaceae.
AAAUCUCAACCUUCUCGGUUUCUUCUGGACACCGAAGGAGGCUUGGACUUUGGAGGCCUUUGCUGGCGUCUCUCUCUUUUGAAGGCCAGCUCCUCUUAAAUGAAUUAGCAGGGUCCUCUUUGCCAAUCCUCGACGUGUGAUAAGAUGUUUCCAUGUCUUGGCUUCUGGCUCUGUGGCUUUUGGGACCCGCUUCUAACCGUCUCUGAGACAACGUUUGAGCACGUCUCCCUUCUCGGGAAACGCUCUCAACCCCACGAAC